Long non-coding RNA from Juglans microcarpa x Juglans regia, 1660 nucleotides. RefSeq lists it as uncharacterized. The transcript has 2 exons. The record is from RefSeq and is a predicted model, not a curated record. NCBI's taxonomy places the organism in Eukaryota, Viridiplantae, Streptophyta, Magnoliopsida, Fagales, Juglandaceae.
UGUGUUGCCUUGUUGGCAUAUGAACAACCUUGCGUGGGAGUCAUCGGUUGGAUAUCUGCGUGAAUAGUCACAUGGCUUACACAGUGAAUGCUAUGAUCUUGUCAACGAAUCCCAACUUGAAAGACUCGCAUGGUUGCUUGCAAUCAUGUUUUGAAAGGCCUACUCAGGCAGCUAACUGCAUACUGCUUAGAGAGAAGGUCCCUAAAUGGGGGGAUCAAGGUGGUCAUGAAGCUAGCUUUCUGCAAGAGAAAUCAACAUUGAUAAGAAGGCAAAGUGUUAGACGUUGAUCAUGUGUUAGUGCUCACUCUUCUCAUCUUCCCCGUGUUCAUAGCCUAGCUGUUCAUCUUUACCCAAGCUACUGCAAGUGAUGCGAUUAUUUUUAGGUGUAUAGAGGCUCCAUGGCUACUUGGGUGAUCCGUGGUACUGCGCUUCAGUACUCUGUGGCCGGGAAGAAUGAGAUGUUCUCCAUGAACGAAAAAGUUUAAUUGAACGGUGGUUUUAGUAUGAAAAUUCUUUCAUCAUCUGGAAGACGUUUCACCUGCAUGAUCUGGAUGGAACCGUCUUUGCAUUUCUCUUUCAGGAAUGCUAGAUCAAUGGUUCCAACUGCAUGGAACCGGCCGGGUUUAUGAUGCUCUUCAUUUAUUGCAGACCGAGCCAUCGAUUCAGGGAAUAUUGUAGCUUUGGAGAAUAUCGAAGACCAAUGAAAAUUACUUUAUGGCCAAAGACUUGUGGCCUAAUUAACAUAACAUCCAGCCUCCAAAAUGGAAGUUUAGAGAUCGAAACCCCUCUCCCUAAUUCAAAAAAAAAAAAAAAUUUUGAGACUUUAUGAAGGGGGAAAACUUUUGUCUUUGAAUGAUAUCCUUCUACCAUUUAUUUUUGUAUAUUGAACUUGUAUCAUUGAAAAUAAGGAUUGGUACAAGAAUAGCGAUUGCAAUUUGCAUGCAUGCUUGUGAAUUGGCGACUUAACACAUAAUUGGUAGUGCUUGUAAUCUUGCUCUGAUGAUAUACAGAGUGUGUGUUUUCUUCAUAUUUUUUCUCUAAAUUUACCUAUAGUAAAGUCAUGCAGGAAUAUUUCUUUUCUCUAUCAAGGUGAUAUAUGUUUCUAAUAGGGGUACUUUUUGUAUAGAGAAUGGUCAUACCAUUAUCAUCAGACAAAGCAGUUUGGAAUGCUGCUCUGAAUAAUGAGGUGGUCCAGGAGCUCAGGGAGUCCUACUAACUGUGGUUGUAACUUGUUUAUGUUCAUAAAAGGUCUCGGCUUUUUUUGUGAUCUUGAAUGUAAUAUUGGUGUCAAUGGUAAUUAUCAGUAUUGUGGUUGUUUUUUAUGCAAAUAAUUGACCUAUAAUUUGAUGACACCCGAGAUUAGUCGGGACUUGUUCUCGGACACCCUGUGCCAAUAUACUAAAAAAACAAAGGUUGACCUAUAAUUUGAUGACAUGAUAGGUGGUUUUCCCUACUAGGUGACUUGUAUUUUACAUUGAUUUUACAUAUUGUUCUCUAUUUCACAAAAAAAAUUGCAAAAUAGAGAAGCCAUUGAGAGGUCAGCAAAAGUAGUUUUACAAGCUACCUUGUCAGCAAUUAUAGUUACAAAUUUACUCCUAUCUCUCUCUACAUAUGUGCGCCAAUACUAGGUUACUAACGUUGAAGGUUCUCCCGCCAUAAA